This 467-nucleotide ribosomal RNA is filed under the name uncultured bacterium. RNAcentral's name for it is "partial 16S ribosomal RNA". It matches the Rfam family "Bacterial small subunit ribosomal RNA", at positions 28 to 506 of the family's 1533-position model. The record is from RNAcentral.
GACGAACGCUGGCGGCGUGCUUAACACAUGCAAGUCGAACGGAAAGGCCCUGCUUUUGUGGGGUGCUCGAGUGGCGAACGGGUGAGUAACACGUGAGUAACCUGCCCUUGACUUUGGGAUAACUUCAGGAAACUGGGGCUAAUACCGGAUAGGAGCUCCUGCUGCAUGGUGGGGGUUGGAAAGUUUCGGCGGGUGUGGAUGGACUCGCGGCUUAUCAGCUUGUUGGUGGGGUAGUGGCUUACCAAGGCUUUGACGGGUAGCCGGCCUGAGAGGGUGACCGGCCACAUUGGGACUGAGAUACGGCCCAGACUCCUACGGGAGGCAACAGUGGGGAAUAUUGCACAAUGGGCGGAAGCCUGAUGCAGCAACGCCGCGUGCGGGAUGACGGCCUUCGGGUUGUAAACCGAUUUCGCCUGUGACGAAGCGUGAGUGACGGUAAUGGGUAAAGAAGCACCGGCUAACUACGU